CCCAGAGGGGCGAGGUCUUCAUAGACGGAACGGGAGAAACAAGAAUUAAGGAGGAAGGUUCAAAAUGAGCGACGCCGUCGUAAGUGAGCAAGAGAAAAUCCUGCAGGAAUUCCAUGCAGAAAGAGUUUUCCUUUCAGGAAACAAGGAAUGGCUUGCAGGGAAGAAUUUCUUUGUGGUGAAAAGCACGGUGGAGAGAAUUGUGAAGUGGGCUUAUGAAUCCAGCACUGGCUUGUACCGCUUUGACCCCAUUCCCGUGGGCAGCUACAACGAAGGGCUGCACCUGCAAGUGGAAAACGCGUCCAAUGACUUUGACUUCCUCAUCCCAAUACGGUAUAACUCCAAGUUGGCGCUCCGGAGCAGAACCGUCCCCAUUAAUUCCUCCAGCCGUCCCACCCACCAGCUCCCCACCUACAUUUUUCGCUACAAAGGAAUCUGUAACCGUCCUGACAAAGGGCUGCCGGUUUUUUGCCAGGGCACCAAAAUGUUGGUGGAUAUUGAGGAUGUGGCAGAGACAGAUGUGCAAAUCUAUUGUGAUAAGCCAAAAUCAGCAUUGGCGGAAGAGGAGGAAGAGGAGGAUGAUCCUGAGUAUUGUAAAUUAGAAAUGUGCCAGGAGAGUCUCGGCCACCAUAAUCUGGAUCCAGAGCAAAUCCUGAAGGACUUUCAUCAAUACGUAGGAAUUGCCUUAAAUCCAGAGUACACCCAUCCUCGACAAAACGAUCCCGUUUUCCAACUUCGGUUGUUCCCUUCCCGAGUACCCACAAUACAUAAUAGCAUAAGAGGGAACAUCAGAUUAGAGACCUUGGAUUUAAGUGGUCCAGCCAUCCAGUUGGUUUUCAACGAAGGGAAUGAAACUAUCCCGGUGAAGCUGGUGCCAGCCGUUCGGGGAGCAAUAGAAUUCUCCAACGAAUGGAUGAGGGAGGAUCUCACUCACCUUUCUGACUGGUGGGAUGGUGACCUCACCAAUGAAAAGAAGAGCUUCCUCCAGAAGGUCCAAGCCCUUAAGGAAACGGGGCUAGAGCUCGUCCCAAAGGGAGGAUUCUGGAGGUAAAAAAAACCCAAGUUGUUUGGUGGAAAGAACGGUGUGGCCAAGGUUGAGGACAUGGUUUUAAGCCCUGUGGGAUGCUGGAUAGGGAUGCAGAAUAAAACACCUGACUGGAACA
RNAcentral lists this long non-coding RNA (1160 nucleotides) under Notechis scutatus (mainland tiger snake). RNAcentral describes it as "lncRNA (ENSNSUG00000019251.1)". Lineage: Eukaryota; Metazoa; Chordata; Lepidosauria; Squamata; Elapidae. The record is from RNAcentral.